GGACGGUUAGCUCAGCUGGUAUGAGCAUCUGCUUGACGUGCAGAGGGUCACAGGUUCGAGUCCUGUACCGUCCACCA
Molecule: transfer RNA, 77 nt
Filed under: Clostridiales bacterium
Lineage: Bacteria; Bacillati; Bacillota; Clostridia; Eubacteriales
Also listed under: 1 other name
Description: tRNA-Val
Rfam family: tRNA
About the family: Transfer RNA (tRNA) molecules are approximately 80 nucleotides in length.
Source: RNAcentral